UACAUAGGUCCCGAGCGUUGUCCGGAUUUAUUGGGCGUAAAGCGAGCGCAGGUGGUUUAUUAAGUCUGGUGUAAAAGGCAGUGGCUCAACCAUUGUAUGCAUUGGAAACUGGUAGACUUGAGUGCAGGAGAGGAGAGUGGAAUUCCAUGUGUAGCGGUGAAAUGCGUAGAUAUAUGGAGGAACACCGGUGCCGAAAGCGGCUCUCUGGCCUGUAACUGACACUGAGGCUCGAAAGCGUGGGGAGCAAACAGG
Molecule: ribosomal RNA, 252 nt
Filed under: uncultured bacterium
Lineage: Bacteria
Description: partial 16S ribosomal RNA
Rfam family: Bacterial small subunit ribosomal RNA
Source: RNAcentral